UUGGAGGGCAAGUCUGGUGCCAGCAGCCGCGGUAAUUCCAGCUCCAAUAGCGUAUAUUAAAGUUGUUGCAGUUAAAAAGCUCGUAGUUGAAUUUUGGGAUCUGGUUGGUGGUCUGCCCGUUGGGUACGUACUGUCUGGCCGGAUCUGACCUUCUGGUAACCAUAAUGUCAUUCAUUUGAUGUUUUGGGGAAUUAGGACUGUUACCUUGAAAAAAUUAGAGUGUUUAAAGCAGGCUAACGCUUGAAUACAUUAGCAUGGAAUAAUGAAAUAGGACAUCGCAUUCUAUUUUGUUGGUUUCUAGGAUCGAUGUAAUGAUUAAUAGGGAUAGUUGGGGGCAUUAGUAUUCAAUUGUCAGAGGUGAAAUUCUUGGAUUUAUUGAAGACUAACUACUGCGAAAGCAUUUGCCAAGGACGUUUUCAUUAAUCAAGAACGAAAGUUAGGGGAUCAAAGACGAUCAGAUACCGUCGUAGUCUUAACCAUAAACUAUGCCGACUAGGGAUCGGAUGAUGUUAAUUUUUUAAUGACUCAUUCGGCACCUUACGGGAAAC
Molecule: ribosomal RNA, 548 nt
Filed under: uncultured Glomus
Lineage: Eukaryota; Fungi; Glomeromycota; Glomeromycetes; Glomerales; Glomeraceae
Description: bacterial SSU rRNA
Rfam family: Eukaryotic small subunit ribosomal RNA
Source: RNAcentral